AUGCUCUGGGCACUUUGGUAUGCGAGGCGUAAAGCAAUUCACGAGAAUAUAUUUCAGGCACCAUACUCUGUCAACAGCUUCAUAUCAAAAUAUUUGGAUGAACUACGAGUGACCCAGCAAAGGCAUCCUUCCUCGACCCCUUCUAAAAGCGCCCGACCAGCGCGGUGGCUUGCACCACCAUCAGGUUACGCGAAGUUUAACGCCGAUGCAACGGUAACCAGAAACGGUGGGACAGUGGGGGUGAUCUGUAGAGACGACAGGGGUAUGUUUAUAGGAGCCUCGACUCUCUCUUUCAGAUACAUUGUGGAUCCCCCGACUUUGGAAGCACUUGCUAUUAGAGAGGCACUAGCAUUGGCAGAUGAUCUCUAUCUGAGGCGCAUCCAAGUGGCGUCGGACUGCAAAACGGUGGUGCAGGACAUACACAAGGAGAAUUUGGCAAGCUACGGAGCAGUCAUUCAUGAGAUAGUUGAACAUUCUUUAGCUUUUGAUUUCUGUAAUUUCAGUCAUGAGUUUACGAGUUCGAAUUUUGAAGCUCACAACUUAGCGAAGCAUGCUUUAUCUUUCGAUGGUGGCCGCCAUGUUUGGUUAGGUCAUCUUGGUAAUUUACCAUCCGUCCCUGUAAAUAUUGUAACGACUUAA
Molecule: ribosomal RNA, 639 nt
Filed under: Triticum aestivum (bread wheat)
Lineage: Eukaryota; Viridiplantae; Streptophyta; Magnoliopsida; Poales; Poaceae
Description: partial small subunit ribosomal RNA
Source: RNAcentral